AACGAACGCUGGCGGCAUGCCUAACACAUGCAAGUCGAACGAGACCUUCGGGUCUAGUGGCGCACGGGUGCGUAACGCGUGGGAACCUGCCCUUAGGUUCGGAAUAACUCCCCGAAAGGGGUGCUAAUACCGGAUAAUGUCUUCGGACCAAAGAUUUAUCGCCUUUGGAUGGGCCCGCGUUGGAUUAGCUAGUUGGUAGGGUAAAAGCCUACCAAGGCGACGAUCCAUAGCUGGUCUGAGAGGAUGAUCAGCCACACUGGGACUGAGACACGGCCCAGACUCUUACGGGAGGCAGCAGUGGGGAAUAUUGGACAAUGGGCGAAAGCCUGAUCCAGCAAGGCCGCGUGAGUGAUGAAGGCCUUAGGGUUGUAAAGCUCUUUUACCCGGGAUGAUAAUGACAGUACCGGGAGAAUAAGCUCCGGCUAACUCCGUG
Molecule: ribosomal RNA, 433 nt
Filed under: uncultured bacterium
Lineage: Bacteria
Description: partial 16S ribosomal RNA
Rfam family: Bacterial small subunit ribosomal RNA
Source: RNAcentral